Molecule: ribosomal RNA, 1343 nt
Filed under: uncultured bacterium
Lineage: Bacteria
Description: 16S ribosomal RNA
Rfam family: Bacterial small subunit ribosomal RNA
Source: RNAcentral
GACGAACGCUGGCGGCGUGCUUAACACAUGCAAGUCGAACGGAAAGGCCCUGCUUUUGUGGGGUGCUCGAGUGGCGAACGGGUGAGUAACACGUGAGUAACCUGCCCUUGACUUUGGGAUAACUUCAGGAAACUGGGGCUAAUACCGGAUAGGAGCUCCUGCUGCAUGGUGGGGGUUGGAAAGUUUCGGCGGUUGGGGAUGGACUCGCGGCUUAUCAGCUUGUUGGUGGGGUAGUGGCUUACCAAGGCUUUGACGGGUAGCCGGCCUGAGAGGGUGACCGGCCACAUUGGGACUGAGAUACGGCCCAGACUCCUACGGGAGGCAGCAGUGGGGAAUAUUGCACAAUGGGCGGAAGCCUGAUGCAGCAACGCCGCGUGCGGGAUGACGGCCUUCGGGUUGUAAACCGCUUUCGCCUGUGACGAAGCGUGAGUGACGGUAAUGGGUAAAGAAGCACCGGCUAACUACGUGCCAGCAGCCGCGGUGAUACGUANGGUGCGAGCGUUGUCCCGAUUUAUUGGGGCGUAAGGGCUCGUAGGUGGUUGAUCGCGUCGGAAGUGUAAUCUUGGGGCUUAACCCUGAGCGUGCUUUCGAUACGGGUUGACUUGAGGAAGGUAGGGGAGAAUGGAAUUCCUGGUGGAGCGGUGGAAUGCGCAGAUAUCAGGAGGAACACCAGUGGCGAAGGCGGUUCUCUGGGCCUUUCCUGACGCUGAGGAGCGAAAGCGUGGGGAGCGAACAGGCUUAGAUACCCUGGUAGUCCACGCUGUAAACGGUGGGUACUAGGUGUGGGGUCCAUUCCACGGGUUCCGUGCCGUAGCUAACGCUUUAAGUACCCCGCCUGGGGAGUACGGCCGCAAGGCUAAAACUCAAAGGAAUUGACGGGGCCCCGCACAAGCGGCGGAGCAUGCGGAUUAAUUCGAUGCAACGCGUAGAACCUUACCUGGGUUUGACAUGGAUCGGGAGUGCUCAGAGAUGGGUGUGCCUCUUUUGGGGUCGGUUCACAGGUGGUGCAUGGCUGUCGUCAGCUCGUGUCGUGAGAUGUUGGGUUAAGUCCCGCAACGAGCGCAACCCUUGUUCACUGUUGCCAGCACGUUAUGGUGGGGACUCAGUGGAGACCGCCGGGGUCAACUCGGAGGAAGGUGGGGAUGACGUCAAGUCAUCAUGCCCCUUAUGUCCAGGGCUUCACGCAUGCUACAAUGGCUGGUACAGAGAGUGGCGAGCCUGUGAGGGUGAGCGAAUCUCGGAAAGCCGGUCUCAGUUCGGAUUGGGGUCUGCAACUCGACCUCAUGAAGUCGGAGUCGCUAGUAAUCGCAGAUCAGCAACGCUGCGGUGAAUACGUUCCCGGG